GAUUAUCCGGAGCUUAUAUAGGAGCAGUUUUAAAUUUUCAUGCAAUAUUCUACCCAAACUCUGAUGCGAUAAUCCUAAUGACAUAUCAUGUCAUUGUGUAAGCAGUAAAUGGUUGCUCAAUUGCACCAUUUACUGCUUAGUCUCUGGAAUUCUCAAAUCUUUUUCUUGGUCCUACUUGUUUCAACUUCAUUGUUGAAGUCAUUGCUUCAAAUCUUUCCACCCAUUUCUUCACAAUAUGGGCUGAUGGAACCAUAUCAUGAUGGCACAGUUGAAAAUGUGCCAAAAUUCAUGCUAUGCAGUUUCAUAACAACUAUUGUUUUUAUAAUAUGCAUUCACCAUGAAAGUGCACUGCUCUCCAGACCACUGCUCCAUAGCAACUGAAAUGGCAUCGUCUAUGCUACAUUCUCAUGGUCUCACAGCAUUGCCAGAUUUAACAAUGACCUUAUACUACACGAUUCAAAAUUUUCC
This 468-nucleotide long non-coding RNA is filed under the name Androctonus crassicauda. The record is from RNAcentral. Lineage: Eukaryota; Metazoa; Arthropoda; Arachnida; Scorpiones; Buthidae.